AUAUGUUAUUCGUGACCAGAAAAUAAUCUUAGAAAUAUUAGAAAAGAUAAAACCAUAUUUGAUUGCUAAAGCAAAACAUUUAGAAUUAGCGUUAAAGCUAAUGCGGUUAGAGAAUUGGAAUUCAAACAAAACUAAUUUGCAAAAGGCGAUGAAGCUAGCUCAAGAUAUAAAAGGCCUAAAUAAAUACCCAAAACGUGUUAGAUUUGACCCCGUAACGACUGAGGUCGAAAGACCGAGAUAUCGAUUCUACAAGUAUUAGAAUUUUAUCGAUAUAAUACGCCGACACUCCCCGCCCAGGGCGGGGAAAGAAGAUAUAGUCUACACUACUAGUAAUAGUAGAUAAAGUGACGGUCCAUACACCUACGGGUGGCAGCAGUUGGGAAUAUUGCACAAUGGGCGACAGCCUGAUGCAGCGACGCCGCGUGAAGGAAGAAGGCCUUCGGGUUGUAAACUUCUUUUUUAGGGGACGAUUGUGACGGUACCCUAAGAAUAAGGACCUGCUAACUACGUGCCAGCAGCAGCGGUAAUACGUAGGGUCCGAGCGUUGUCCGGAUUUAUUGGGCGUAAAGAGCAUGUAGGUGGAUUGAUGUGUCGGAUUUUAAAUCUCCAGGCUUAACUUGGAUUUUGGAUCCGAAACUAUUAAUCUCGAGGAUAACAGGGGCAAGCGGAAUUAGCGGAGUAGCAGUGAAAUGCGUUGAUCUCGCUAAGAACACCAAUGGCGAAGGCAGCUUGCUAGGUUAUCUCUGACACUGAGAUGCGAAAGCGUGGGGAGCGAACGGGAUUAGAUACCCCGGUAGUCCACGCCGUAAACGAUGCAGACUAGGUAUCAGAAGUAUCGACCCUUCUUGUACCAAAGCUAACGCGUUAAGUCUGCCGCCUGGGAAGUACGGUCGCAAGACUAAAACUCAAAGGAAUUGACGGGGACUCGCACAAGCGGUGGAGCAUGUGGUUUAAUUCGACGAUAAGCGAAGAACCUUACCAGGGAUUGACAUCUAGAGAACCCUGCAGAAAUGCGGGGGUGCUCGCAAGAGAGCUCUAAGACAGGUGCUGCACGGCUGUCGUCAGCUCGUGUCGUGAGAUGUGGCCUUAAGUGGUCAAACGAGCGAAACCUGUAUCCUGUGUUGAUUUUCACAGGAGACUGCCUCGGUUUACGGGGAGGAAGGCGCAGAUGACGUCAAGUCAGCGUGGCUCUUACACCCUGGGCUACACACGUGCUACAAUGGUAAUGCUAUAAAGAGUUGCAAGAUCGCAAGAUUAAGCUAAUCUCCUAAAACUUGCCUCAGUACGGAUUGAGGGCUGUAAUUCGCCCUCAUGAAGCUGGAAUCGCUAGUAAUCGUGGGUCAGCUACACCACGGUGAAUACGUUCUCGAGUCUUGUACACACCGCCCGUCAAGUGAGCCGAGUCGGCGGGGCCCGAACUUCGUAGUAACGGGGAACGGCCAAGUCGGUGAGGAGCACUAAGUCGUAACAAGGUAUCCGUAGGGGAAUCUGCGGAUG
This 1497-nucleotide ribosomal RNA is filed under the name Candidatus Berkelbacteria bacterium RBG_13_40_8. Its description in RNAcentral is "bacterial SSU rRNA". It matches the Rfam family "Bacterial small subunit ribosomal RNA". Lineage: Bacteria; Candidatus Berkelbacteria. The record is from RNAcentral.